CAAAACGUAGCUUAACUAAAGCAUCUUGCUUACACCAAGAAAAUAUUUGUUUAACUCAAAUCGCUUUGA
RNAcentral lists this transfer RNA (69 nucleotides) under Scinax hayii (Hay's snouted treefrog). Its description in RNAcentral is "tRNA-Val". It matches the Rfam family "tRNA". Rfam says of the family: Transfer RNA (tRNA) molecules are approximately 80 nucleotides in length. The record is from RNAcentral. Lineage: Eukaryota; Metazoa; Chordata; Amphibia; Anura; Hylidae.